Molecule: microRNA, 23 nt
Filed under: Petromyzon marinus (sea lamprey)
Lineage: Eukaryota; Metazoa; Chordata; Hyperoartia; Petromyzontiformes; Petromyzontidae
Description: pma-miR-222-5p
Gene: pma-miR-222-5p
Source: miRBase by way of RNAcentral
ACUCAGAGCCCAGUGUAGAUCCU